AGAACAUUACUGCAGCUGCUUCCAGAGCUUCCACACAGAAAUUUCGUUGUUGUUUUGCUUGUUUAUUUUGUUUUCUUUUCAUUUGCAGGGGAGGUUGCAAGGGUGAAAGGCAGAUAUGGAGGGAGGGGGAAGAUGAGGAGGAUUAGGGUGCAUGAUGUGAAAUUCACACACACACAAAAAGUUAUUUUUUUUUAAAUGAAAGAAAAAGAAAAGAGUCAGAAAACACACACAUGACUUCCAUUCUGCUUCACUGGUGGAAACACUUAUGGGCACACUCAGCAUCAAGGAAAUCCGGGACUUGUAUUUGGAUCAUUGCAUGUCUAGGAAGAAUGAAUCUGGGAGGGGCCCAGUGACUCUGCCUGUCAGCUUUUGGUGUGAUUCGUGUGGAGUAAGGACCGGAGGAAAGAGAAUGAUAUAGAAGAAUUCAGGUCCAUUUUAACCUCUCAUCUUAGAUAAGAUUGCAAAUGUCUGCUUUCAGUUUUAGACACAUCCAAGUAUUUAAAAAAUCCACCCCUUGCUUUAUGUUCAGAGGUAUUUUUGUUUUGUUUAAUUGUUCUGCUACUCCAGGGCUUCAGGUUUGACCAUGUGUUCUAGUUGUUUUAUCAGCUGCCCUGGCACGUUCCUUUGUUCCUCUAGAUUUCCCCUUUCCUUCUUUGAGAAACACACUGAACACAUUGAUUCCUGGCAGCUGUUCUGCAUCUCUUUGUGACGACUGAGACAAAGAGUUAGCUAGGUCUGCUGUACCAGUCAAUCAAACUGGCUUGGAAUUUGCAUUUAUAAAUAUUCCAUUGAUGAUUUUUUUAAAUAAGAGCUAUUAUUGCCCUACUUCAUGUUUUCAUUUUCCUAACCUACCCUUCUUACUUAUGAAGCACAAUAGAUAACCAAUAUAUCAUCCAUAUUUAAAGAAAAAAAGCAAACACAAAAGAGAAGCAAAGAGGAAGGAAUACCUUCCUAAAAUUUCCUGCAACUCUAGAUUUCUAAAAAUAAUUGAAGAUCAGUGUCUUUGCAGAAUAGAUUUGUAUGGUUCUUACCCCUUAUGAUCCCCAGAUCCCAGAGUUUGCUCUAGAAACUAAUUAGAGCUUUUGCUGAAGUCCAUUUUUAGCCUAUGUUGAUACAGUAGGUCACUGUGGCUUUUUCAUAAAAAUGGGUCUUGUAGAAGAGCAUCACACCCAUAAGAAUGUAUUUGAUGGUAAACAAAUAUGCUUCUUUGGUUAAUGGUAAAUACAUGCAUUUCUUUGGUUAACUUGGGCCCUCUUCUGUUGUCUGCCAAGAGAAAGCACCUUCAGCUUACACUUGGCAAAAUGGCAGAGACCUAAGCUAUGGGAGAAGGCUGUCCUCACACUAUUUGCUUUGUAAGGGGAAGAAGGAGAACGUGUUGUAAAUUGUGUAAGUUGGUGAAACAAUAAUAAAUUGUUGGGACCAUGAAGAUUUUUUCUGUUUUAUUUUUUUCCCAAAAGAGCACUUCAAAAUUAUGAAUACAGAAUACACAGAGAAAUUUUGGUAGUCAUUUCUGCCAUAUGAAAAGGAAACUAGAGAGAUGAAGGAGAUGUAAGGCCUGGAGAAAUGUGGAUGAGAGGACAGAAUGCUAAUAUCCAUUUAUCGAAGCUUUGCAAUUUCAUGAGGUCCCAUUAAGUGGAUAUUAUCCCCAAAGCUCAAAAUACACAAGAUACAAUUCAUAGACCACAUGAAGCUCAAGAAGAAGGAAGAACAAAGUGUGGAUGCUUCGGUCCUUCUUAGAAGUUAGAACAAAAUACUCAUGGGAGGAAAUACGGAGACAAAGUGUGGAACAGAGACUGAAGGAAAGGCCAUCCAGAGACUGCCACACCUGGAGAUCCAUCCCAUAUACAGUCACCAAACCCAGACACUAUUGUAACUGCUAACAAGUGCUUAUUGACAGGAGCCUGAUAUAGCUGUCUCCUGAGAGGCUCUGCCAGAGCCUGACAAAUACAGAGGUGGAUGUUCUUAGUCAACCAUUGGAAUGAGCACGGGGUCCCUGAUGGAGGAGUUAGAGAAAGGACUGAAGGAGCUGAAGGGGCUUGCAACCCCAUAAGAAGAACAACAAUAUCAACCAACCAGACCCCCCAGAGCUCCCAGGGACUAAACCACCAACCAAAAAGUAUACACGGAGGGACCCAUGGCUCCAGGUGCAUAUGUAGCAGAAGAUGGGCUUAUCUGGCAUCAAUGGAAGGAGAGGCUCUUUGUCCUGUGAAGGCUCGAUGCACCAGUGUAGGGGAAUGCCAGGGUGGUAAAGUGGGAGUGGGUGGGUGGGUGGGGGAGCACCCUCAUAGAAGAAGGGGGAGUGGGGAAGGGAUAGGGGGUUUCCGGGACAUGGGGGAAAGGAGAUAACAUUUGAAAUGUAAAUAAAGAGAAUUAAAAAAAAAAAAGAGGACAGGA
This 2394-nucleotide long non-coding RNA is filed under the name Mus musculus (house mouse). RNAcentral describes it as "predicted gene, 33841". The record is from RNAcentral. Lineage: Eukaryota; Metazoa; Chordata; Mammalia; Rodentia; Muridae.